This 282-nucleotide long non-coding RNA is filed under the name Zostera marina. RNAcentral describes it as "long non-coding RNA (ZMAR_LNC003059)". The record is from RNAcentral. Lineage: Eukaryota; Viridiplantae; Streptophyta; Magnoliopsida; Alismatales; Zosteraceae.
GUCUACCUACGUUCAUCCGUAGGUGAGGAUUGUUGUUGAGUACGUCCCUCGUCUAACCUACGUUCUUCCGUAGGUGAGGUUUACUCUUGGACACUUGCCCCUCUGUCUAUAUUUUUGUAGAAUGGGGUGUGUGUUUAGCUGAUGUGUCCCCCGUCUAACCUACGUUCUUCCGUAGGUGGGGUUCAUUUUUUGCCGAUGUGUUCCCCGUCUAACCUACGUUCUUCCGUAGGUGGGGUUUACUUUUGAGUAUAUCCCUCGUCUAACACUACGUUUCCGUAGGUG